RNAcentral lists this ribosomal RNA (250 nucleotides) under uncultured prokaryote. RNAcentral describes it as "partial 16S ribosomal RNA". It matches the Rfam family "Bacterial small subunit ribosomal RNA", at positions 524 to 773 of the family's 1533-position model. The record is from RNAcentral.
UACGUAGGUGGCAAGCGUUGUCCGGAUUUACUGGGUGUAAAGGGCGAGUAGGCGGACUUGCAAGUCAGAUGUGAAAUGCAGAGGCUUAACCUCUGAGCUGCAUUUGAAACUGUAGGUCUUGAGUGAUGGAGAGGCAGAUGGAAUUCCCGGUGUAGCGGUGGAAUGCGUAGAUAUCGGGAGGAACACCGGUGGCGAAGGCGGUCUGCUGGACAUUAACUGACGCUGAGGAGCGAAAGCGUGGGGAGCAAAC